Molecule: long non-coding RNA, 1674 nt
Organism: Dioscorea cayenensis subsp. rotundata (Guinea yam)
Lineage: Eukaryota; Viridiplantae; Streptophyta; Magnoliopsida; Dioscoreales; Dioscoreaceae
Exons: 3
Source: RefSeq, a predicted model, not a curated record
ACAAGUUAAAACACACACUACCACUUCCAAUAUGAGCUUGCAUUAUUCAUCGCCGGAUUCGAGGCCUCACCACUAGAAACCGUGCCCACGUCUCUCUCUUUGAAGACGAGCUUGACUCAUCCAUCGCCGGAGCCAGAGUUGUACUACUAAAAACCGUGCCAACAACCUUUGCCUCCAUCGGAACAAAGCCAUCCAACGCCGGAGCCAGGGCUGCACCACUGGAAAUUAUGCGAUUGGCCUUUGCCUACACUGGAAUGAAGCUAUUUAUCACCGGAUCAACAUAAUUGAACUGUAGAUAUAAAUUAAACUUCAAAACUUAAACAAUGUGCGAGCGUACGAUGAGGCGGAUGCAGCAACGAGGCAGAAAAGGGCAGCGGAUGAUGAGGAGAUGAAAAGAGUGUCUAGUCUUAUUCCAGGUUGUGCAUGCAUUGCAUGGCAUUGUCCCAGCUGUAAGACCACUAUGGACACUGCCCUUUGAUAGGACUUGACCCAUUUCCUGUCAGUCCUUCGCUCUUCGCUGGGUAUCACUUGCUCUGUUUAUAAAGGUUAUUAGUUUUGUUCUUUUAUUCAUCAAAUGUAUAAUUGUAUAUUAUUCAUGGAAUUGUGUUGAUGAUUUUACUUGGAAAUGGAGUUUAGUUUACUUGAAGAAUGAGAGCUAAUAACAAAUGGCACUCGGUAUGUAUGCUCCGAGAAGUAUCAUACUUUUUCAUAGACAAACAUACUUUUUUAUAAAAAUGAAUGAUUCCAAUCUAGAAAAGAUAAAUCAGUAGAGUUUUUUUUUUUCCUUUUCUUUCUUUUUAAAUGUGCAUAUAUUACCAAUGUCAUAUAUAAUUUUACUUGUAUUAGAAGAAAAAAAAAGAUGAACAAGUUCACAAGUACUUCAUCAAAACAACAAAAACCUUAUCUAAAUCCACCAACUAAUUAACCUUGGAUAGGCAUUAAUUUAUUAGGAACUUCAAUAGAAGUGAUGGUCAAAGUUUCUCUGUAUUAUUGUCAGUCAAAGCUAACAUAAAAAAGAUCUUCACAAGCUUAGACUUUGGUCAAUCUUAAGUUGUGUUCUCAGUUCAUUUCUUGAAGGACUUUGUUGCAGUUUGCAUGGCUUUUUGUUCUAUCACCAUUGUUAUCAAUUAUCAGAGAAAAGGGUUAUGAUGGAGAUGCAGCUAUGGUUAAGAAUACUAAUGGAGAAGUAAUUAUCAUAGUUAAGGAGCUGAAAACCGAAAAAGAUGAGUUUUUGAAUACUCCUAGUACUGAAUGCAUUGCUAACUUCUCAGAUUUCAGUUGCUCCUAUUUAUCAGGAGAGCUUAGAGUAUGCUUCUGCUGUGGAGGAUCAGUCAUCAGAAACUGCAGAUUCUGAAAUUCGGAUUUUGACAGAGCUUGUGACAGUCUUACAUGUUAAUCAGACAGAAGCUAUGGACAAAGAUGAGUUGUUAAAGAUGGUGCUUUGGGUUUUUAGCUAUGGCUCACUGGUGUGAAACCCUGGAUUUGACUUUGAUGAAAGGAUUGUUGGUUAUAUCAAGGACUAUAGACGGGUGUUUAAUCUUGGUGAACAAAAUAAUUUGACAAUUUAGUUGGUUUCUGAUGCAGCGGUAUACUUGAACCUGUUGAUUCGCCUUCGAAUACCGGUAACAAGUUGUCCAAACCUUGUUGAUCAAAGAUAGCCAGGAAUUGGGAAAA